UACAGAGGUCCCAAGCGUUGUUCGGAUUCAUUGGGCGUAAAGGGUGCGUAGGUGGCGCCGUAAGUCGGGUGUGAAAUUUCGGAGCUUAACUCCGAAACUGCAUUCGAUACUGCGGUGCUUGAGGACUGGAGAGGAGACUGGAAUUCAUGGUGUAGCAGUGAAAUGCGUAGAUAUCUGGAGGAACACCGGUGGCGAAGGCGGCAUCCUGGACCAACACUGACGCUGAGGAGCGAAAGCCAGGGGAGCAAACGGG
RNAcentral lists this ribosomal RNA (253 nucleotides) under uncultured prokaryote. RNAcentral's name for it is "partial 16S ribosomal RNA". It matches the Rfam family "Bacterial small subunit ribosomal RNA", at positions 524 to 776 of the family's 1533-position model. The record is from RNAcentral.